GUCAUAUACUGCCUCCCAUUUGCAAAGAAAUCUGAGCCCCGAAUCACUUCCUACGUACAUCCUAAACUACCAAAAUAAAAGACUUCCUCAUAGAGAUGAACGUUAUUGGUUGUGGUACUCAAAGCAAUGCAUCCUUUCAGAAACCAGAAACUUUUUCAUAGGGACUGCUUUCUUCUGAAUAAAUAGUACCAAUGAACACAGUCAAACCUGUAAAACCUUUAAUAAUUUGAAAAAAGGUUGAAUUAAAUUAAAAUGAUCUGCCUAGCUAGGAGCAGGAGGGAUAAAUCAUUUUUCUUGUAAUUUUUGGUGAACUAACCCUGAAAAUAUCCCAACAUAUCAGAAUUAAAAAUUAAGGUGCUUUACAUCCAAAUGCAGGAAUGCAUUGGGGGAUUUAAUGAGCAAAUCUGAUGUAUUCCUACAGAGACUUCAAUCUGCAGAGCAGUUUGUGUAAAUAGCUGUAUAAUAUCUGUCUUUAUAGCCUGCUAAAUCUGUGCUACCAUUUGUGCUGUUAAGGCUGAACUGUGUAUGUGUGUUUGUAUCUGUAAACAGUAUUUCACUUAUUCAUUAACCAGGUAUCUCUUUGUUCUUUGUGACUGAGCAACAAAACGACACUUGAUUAUGAAAAAUUAAACCUUUUCAGAAUGAAAAA
Etheostoma cragini (Arkansas darter) is the source of this 649-nucleotide long non-coding RNA. RefSeq lists it as uncharacterized. NCBI's taxonomy places the organism in Eukaryota, Metazoa, Chordata, Actinopteri, Perciformes, Percidae. The transcript has 3 exons. The record is from RefSeq and is a predicted model, not a curated record.